Molecule: long non-coding RNA, 7145 nt
Organism: Mustela lutreola (European mink)
Lineage: Eukaryota; Metazoa; Chordata; Mammalia; Carnivora; Mustelidae
Exons: 3
Source: RefSeq, a predicted model, not a curated record
AGGCCGGUAUUCCCUUCUGGAGGGACGUUCCUGGAAGCCCAGGAGGCCCCGUGAAAAGGUUUCUCCUCAGCUGUUGGCCUCACAUCAAAGUAAAAAAACAAAACAAAACAAACAAAAGUAUUUCAAGACUCUGAUUCUGCUCUGUUAGAGGAGUCUGGUGGAGGGUCAGUCUUUCUAGAACAGACCUAACUGAGCAUGUGUUUGCAUAUCUGUAUGACAAAGGAAGACCUGGCCUGCUGGAUGCUGACGACUGUGCCAAAGAGAAGUAUAUUAAGUUAGGCUGCAGAGCAGAAGGGGUUUUGACACUGGGCACGCAGCUGGAAGGCAAGCAGGCCUUAACCGCAGCGAGGGCUGCCGGUUGGGAGCUUAGACACACGUGUGCGGGAGCUUGAACUCGCAGACACAUGUGACCGUGAGCCAAGUGAGCCAGCAGACCAUAUGCCUUUUGUGUCUCCAGAGACAAGUGGGUUAACUCGGCCCCAGGAGAAGACUGGCCACAAAGGUCCGCACCAGAGUGGAAUUUUCUCUGCCAGAAAAGCCCGAUUAAAAGGACCGCCUUUGCUGUAUCCCGUAGGUUUUGGACUGAAGUGUCUUCACUCUCGGUUUCCAUGAAUUGUUUGUAAGUUUCUUCUUUGAUUUCCCGGUUGAUCCAAACAUUCUUAAGCUUAUUCCUCUAAAUUUGCUAGAUUAAAUUUUUAAAAUCUCUCUCAAAAUCAGAGCAUAGUCAUUACUUCCCAUAGUCCUCCCCCGCCCCCAGGAUCGAUGUGGACCUUCAUUUCAUGUCUCGGUCUGUUGUAGAUCCCAUCCGCGAGCCCCAUCUGUGGCAGGAGUGCACGUCCCUGCUCGUCCACAAAAUCCAGGCGGUGUCGUCCCAUGCUCCUGAUGGGAGCCUUGGCCAUACAGUGCGUGACUUUGGUCAACGAAAUGGUAAUGGAAAUGGCUCCUGCCCCUCUGAGCAGAAGCUUUAAGAAUCCCCACGUGUCUCUUCCUUCUGUCACAAGACCAGCCGUGACUCAGUGGAGGCGCUCCCUCAGCCUAGGGCCCCGCGGAAAUGCCAGAGGUCACCCGCAGAUGGGUGACUCAGGAGAAACAAUCCUCUUGUGGGGUAAGCCACUGAAAUUUUUUUUUUUUAAAAGGAUUUUUAUUUAUUUAUUUGACAGAGAUCACAAGUAGGCAGAAAGGCAGAGAGAGGAGGGGAAGCAGGCUCCCUGGUGAGCAGAGAGCCCGAUGCGGGCCUCGAUCCCAGGACCCUGAGAUCAUGACCUGAACUGAAGGCAGAUUUUUCAACCCACUGAGCCACCCAGGUGCCCCACAAGCCGCUGGAAUUUAAGAGUGGUUUGCAGUUGUAGUCAAGGUAGCCAACCGUGAGUGCUGAUGAGGUCUUGUGAUAGGUUUGUGAGUUUAAUUUUCCACAAAUGACAUUCGCAUCUCUUGAGUCCUGUGGUUUCCAGCUUAUUUAAAAACUCAGGAAUGGGUGCUGAAUCUUCUCAAAUGUCUUUUCAGUGUCUCUGGUAAUCCUAAUAUGACAUACUUCCUGAAAACCUGUCGAUGUGGUGACUUGAAUGAGUAGAUUUUAAAGUACUGAACCAUUCUUAGAGUCCUGAGACAUCUCCCUGGGUUAUGGGGCCGCACUGGAGUCUCUAUGUUCAGAUGCUUUGUGUGUGUGCGUUCCCUCCUCUUUCCUUAGUGAGAUCAGUGAUUUGACUCGUGUUUUAAUUUUCCCAAAGAUGCAACCCAUGGUCUGUUGUACCGUUUGGAACUGGAGUUUUACUUCAUGGCUUUAUAUGUAGUUUUAUAGAUAGUUCUGUGUAUACAGAACUUUUUAGAGGCACUUUGAAUGAAGGCACAUUCUAUAUGUUUGAAGUAUCUCCAUUGGAUCCAUUUUGAUUAUGUUAAUUUUCUUUAUUAUGUUUAUUUAGCUGGCAUAUAGUAUGCUCUUAACUGGGGUCUUCUAGGUACUAUUUUUUGCCUACUUGUUUUGACAUGGGUAUAAGGUGUUAAGAACAAAGACCUUUUGUUACCAUUCUAUAUAUCUAUUUUUCUUUGUAUUUUCUGUAGUUCCUUAUGAAGUUGGGUUCUGCUUUUAAAAAAAUCUGUGAAUAUCCACUAUACUCAGAUUUUCAUUCUGGAGAAAACUGAUAUCCAUGUUUCUACCCCUACAUGCUUGCUUUUUUGAAUUUCUCUUUUUUGUAAAUAAGGUGAGUUUUCAAAAAAGACUGAUUUGGAUAGGUUAUACAUUUACAUUAUUCAAGACGUCUCCAGUCUCCCUCCCCAACCCUUGACCCCCACUCUUGCAUAUCUGAAAAGGCGUCUUCUUUCUUGUACUGUCGUCUGACUGGUAGCACCUGCCCCCUGACCACUCUUUUUAGUUUCUUACGGACUGUUCCAGAUCAUCUUUUGCCUCUGUAAAUGGGGGAAAAUACAGAGAAGGGGUUUCCCUUUCCCCAUUUUUGUGACAUUGUCAGUAAUGAACAAGACACAUCUUUAUGUUUAUCUGGAUACCAUUUAUUGGAUAUAAUAUUCUUAACAAUGGCUUUCUCUACGGAAACAGGUGGUUACCCGUAGAACCCCAAUAUGAGAAAUGUGUACAAAAGCAACAGACUGUAACGUAAAAGGAAUGUGUAAAAAAAAAAAAAAAACAACUUAGCAAAUGAAAGCUUUAUAAAUGGACAAAGCACGAUGAACGUAAGGAACCGGUUUCGUAGCUAUAAGUGUACUGUGCUAAGUGGCUUGCAGCCAAGUGUUCAAGAUAUUUUACUUAACAGUUGCCGCACACGCUCAAACCAUGGGUCUUCCCCACAACCUCCCAAUUCGACCUGAUAGAAGGCAAAAUAGACCCAUUAGCUUCCUCGUCCUGCCUUGGACUCUUAAGAGGAUUUUCCGUCUUUCCAAUUUGAUACUUUUCGUUUUUCUAUCAGUGUUUGCUUAUAGACCACGGAUAUACAUGUCAUUCUACUUCUUUGUGAAACUUAAAAAGAUCACAAGCUAUUUAUCAUUUUGUCUGGAUUUAAACUGCACUUAAAUUGAGGACUGAAUAUAUUAUUUUCUGGAAGGAGACUCCUGGGGGGAGUGUAAGACAUGUCUUUUGCAGAUGAUAUAGAAAAUCAGGAUGGGUUCCAGAAUAUUCAACCUGGAAGAGCAGAAUCCCACUGAGAAUCCCUUUCACUGUGUGGUAAAUCUCUGGGUUAUCACUACCCGUUAUUGAAUGUUGUAACAAUUUCAUAUGCAGUGUUUUGUCUCCUAGUUUUUCUCCUAUGAAACAGGCUCUCAGGACCGGACUUGUCAGCAGCCACUGCUGUCCCAGGAGCAGAGGGGGGGUUUCCAUCCGCAUGCAGGUAAAUACAAAUGGCUUCUAGAAGCAUCCUCACGGCACAGAAACGGAUCUUAGCCUGGGGCUCACUGAUCUUUCUUAGUGUGUCACUGGUAUCACUAUCGGAGUUUCCAAAAAGGUUUUAAGGGACUAGAUGUGAACAGGAACUGUAGAGUGAGUCAAAGGAACUGUGCCAUCGCGGGUAAAUUGUGCCAUCGCGGGUAAACUGAUCUUCUAGGGUGGGGGAUGUGCCUGUGCGAGGGAUGAUGCUGGAUUCGAAGCUGGGGCACCACUGGUGGGCUUCCUCCAAGCUGCCCCUCUGGAGAAGAGUGGGCUUUGGGCAUCCAGCGGCUGGGCUGGGGGGAGGGUAGCGACACGCCACCACAGCCACACCCACUUGGGUUGACCUACAGUAGCCCUGAAGGCAGAGACUUGUCACAUGAGGGACAUUGGCACUGGGUUUGCUGUGGAAAAGCGGCUGGGCUCUCGGUGAUAAGAGGCAAAUAGAUGUAUUAGCCUCUGCUGUGUCCCGAGGUGUAUAUGGGCCUGUUCCUGAGUCGUGGUGGGGGGACGGGUGACUGUAGCAGCCUGGGGCAGCCUCUGGGGGUGGUGGGGAGGGACAAGAUGGCAGCUGCAGUGUCGCCCACCAGUCAGCCAUAGUGUAUGGAGUCAGACCUAGGGGUCAGCACGGCACCGGGAGACUCCUGGAGAGGGCUGGUACCCUGUUUAUCUGGGUCACUUGUGGCUACCCGGGGUCCUACUGACAGCAGGGAGGAGAGGGCUCCAGAGUGCGUCUGCCCUGGGCCUGCUGCUUCCAGAACACUGAAGGGAGCCCUCCCUUGCAGAAGUUUCCAAUGGAAUCAGCCUCACGAGGAAAGCCCGCCCAGGGGUCAGCUCGCGUGAGAAAGAUCCAGUCCAGCUGCCCAGGCAUCUUGCCCUUUGAGUUAUUAGGGUCGCAUUGGCUCAGAAUGCUUAGUAAACAUCAGCUGAGACGGGAGGAAGGCGCUGGGGCAUUCCAGCCCGCCCAGCGCCAGGCUCUCUGCAGCACCGGGGAGAUCACAGCUUGACACGGGUCAGAGUUUUUGCUGUUUUUCUUUGAGGGCAUGCAGUGAUGGCAUUGUACUGAUUUGCCAGAGAACAAUGGCCUGUGGUUUCAGCCUGAGAAUUCAUAAUAAAGUUAAGAAGGCAUAAAAAUGUCCCCUCUGAGACCAGUCAGGAGUAUUUAUGCUCAUGUAGUUUAAUUUGUUGCUUUUGUGGUUUCUGUGAUGUCAUCCCACAUGUGUAAGCUGGAAAAUUCACACUGGGAAGUGUAACCUCUGUAUGCAUAUUCGGACAAUGGAAAAUGUUAUGCAUUGUUUCUCUUGGUUGCUACACAUCUGAUUCCAUGUGUCAGGGAAACAAACUGUUACCAAAAAAUUCAGGAGAUAAACUUUUAAAGAGAAUGCCUGGAAGAUUAGCCCUAUACUUCCCGGUAAGUGGGGUCAUGUAAGCUACAAUGAUAACAAGACAGGGGAAGGAAAGUGACAACCCUCAGAGCCUGCUUUGGGUCUAGGCACGUUAAAUUUCUCAGUGAUGGCCUUAUAAACUCUAAUCGACCCUUAUUCAUGCCUAUGAAACAUUUAAAAUAUUAAAAAUAGACUGCCAUGGAAAUAAAAGCAUUGAUUUUUUUGUUUUGAUCAUCUAUAAGGCAUAUAAAAAGGGAGAGGUACACCUCCCCACUGCUUCCCCCCUCCCCCCUCAAAAAAAAUCCCUGUGGUUCUUUUAAUUAUAUUAAAAUGGAACGUAUGCUAAAAUGCUUCAGUUGAUAGAUUCUGUAUCUUGGAAGUAUUGUUCCUUUAAUAUCUAUAUUUGUCAAGGGAUGUUAGGUUUAAACAUGUUCGUGCUCAAUAAUAACUUGUAUGGCUCUAUAAACGCAAUUUGGGCUGCAGAGAGAGGGCUGUCUCAUCAGCUGCUGCCCCUAAAUGACCACUGAUGAUUCGUGGCAUCAGAAGAUCACAGCGUUAACCUUUUUUUAAAUACCAAUCUAUUCCCGGUUGUCUGAAAUGGAAACAUAGGAAUUCUAGCUAAGGACAGACAAAAAAGACAAAAUUCACAUCCUCUUCCUGAUAAUAGGAGGAGGGGCAGAAUGACAGAUCUAAGAAUCUGGGCAUCUGUAAAGACAGUACCCACAUAACGCACCAUGAAAUUUCUGUAAACUUUUCAACAGCAUGUGUUUUGGCCUUGAUACAGUUACCAAUGUACUAUCAAUUACAGUAAUUCUGUAGAUGUUCAUCAGCAGUAAUACUUUCUAACAUGGCUUUGCCUUUUUAAGAAAAUAAUAAUUGUAUGAUACACAGACAUACUCUAUAGGGGUUGGAAUGUAUCAGAUCUGGGCUCCCUUUUGUGUGUUUGUGGCACGGAUUUGUUUAGUCUAUCCGUGAUCCAUGAGUACUAUGUUGCCGAGAUACAGUGGGGAACAAGGGGUGAGUUAAAUGCCGUCUUGUUUUCUGGAAGGCAAGCUGAUUCUUGGUCUAUUCCUGGUCUCUGUGCUUCAAGGCCCAGGCAAACUGCUGAAAUGACCCCCCCCCCCCCCGAAGUCUUUAUCAUAAAGCACUCGGACUGAAUUACAGAACUGUGGCCAACUGCUUUCGAGUGUGAAAAGGAGUCACAUAUGACCCGACUACAACACAGAGGUGUAAUGGCAUUUUUACCUUGUCUGAGGAUUUUUGUAAUUUUCGUGCCAUUAGUACAGGCAACUUCAGGAUCUCGUUGUGAAAACGUCUCCCCAGUCAGACAUUUGAAGAGCGAAAGGUUGAAGGAGCCGCUGCCCAAGACCACAUUUCAUGAAUAUUUAGGAUUAAGAAUCUAUUUCCUUAUCACAUUCUGUGAUGCUCAACAGAACUCUCCAUCGUGGCCAUAGGUAUCAGUACAGAUGUCUCCAUGGGAACAGCCCCUGAGCUACUAGGCAUCUGGGACCCGGAGUGGUCCCCAUCCUGCAUGCGUCUACACUGAUGGUGUGUCAAUUCUCCAAAGUGCGCCUGCCAUGACCUGGUGAGCCCGUGCAUGUCUGGGGAGCAGAGCUGGGCAUGUGGGAGCCCUCAGAAACGAGUUCUUCUUCUUCAAGGGCAAGACCAACACCAGCUUGUGCCGGUGCCAGUGGCCGGCAUAGGGGACGACAGGCCACGGCUUGGUGGCAUUUAAAAAGAGAGCUUUCCCCUAAUUGCGUCCGCAUAAAGUGGUGCUUUUUCUUUUGAACUAGAAAAGUAACUUUAAGACUGGCAUACGAACCACAGAGAAAUCAUUAGCAUGCUCUGCAAUCUUUCUGUAUUUCCACAGUCGGGACCGAAACCACAGCUCUGCCCCCUUGACCGGCAUUAUCUCUGGGAUUUAUGAGGCUGCUUGUGCUCUCACAGGCUGAACAUUUUUCCCAAAAGCUGUAAUGACAUCACGAACGUGUUUUCCGCAUUGGAGAUGCUGAAUUAUUGAGCCCAGGGCCUGGCCAACACCCUACCUUUGGUUCCUUGGAGCUCCUACAGCAAGCUUCCUGCCAAGGGGGUAUGCGUGUCAGAAGGGUGUUUUGGCUGCGGGUGUAACCCUACCCGUGGCGGGGAGGGACGGGCGGCCAACAUGAAGCCUCUGUCUGUUUCUAGGGUAUAAAUCCUCUGGCUGUGUGAGCAGGGAGGGGCUGCCCACUGGCCCCCUUCCCUGGCAUUUGCACUAUACCAGAAAUAACUGCUUGUAACCUCCAGAACAUAGGUAAUAGUAAAAGGUUAAAAAAAAAAAGGAGUUUUGAGUCUUUUACGUUUUUCAUGUAACUUUCAUAUAAACGCAUUAGGAGUUUAUAUAAUAGUGGCUC